UGCAUGGCCCUCAUUUUUUGGUUUGCACAGCUCACAAGAAGCCUUUGUCUGCAGGGCUGCAAAUCUUCAUCGGUAGGAGAUAAGGAGCAGAGGCUGAGAGAAAAUGGGAAUUGAGCGGCGGAGUAAGCCCUGCUAACGGCACGCUGUGCUGCUGGGGAGCCCUGUACCUGCUGCUGGGAGCUGUGCUGGAGGCUCAGGGUCACAUCCUGUGUUCCAGUGUCAGGAUCUGCAGCAGACCCCAAAGCACAGCACCACAGGGUAGAGCACUCAAGUCUCGGGGAUGCUUCAGAGGCUGCACAAGAGGAGGCUUUUUGUUCCUUGAGCAUCGCUGCGGCCGCAUCGCUGGAGGACAAUGAGCUGCUUCUUGCAGCCUGGGCUGGCGUCUUGGCUUGCCGAGGUUUUGCCCUGUGGAGGAAUGUUCCCCUAAAAUACAGUGGAUGGCUGCAGCAGCGUUGAAGGCUCCAAUGAAGGUGACAGCUAGCAGCCCUAGGAAAAGGGGACGCUGCCUUUGCUGCCUGUUAGUGGGAUUGAGCCCUGUGCUGCUGUGGUAUGAAGCUCCGUGGCCUCAUUCACAUUGAUCCCUGGGGCACAGGGAGGUGUCAAACGCUUCUGGCUGCUUUGCGGAGAGGAAACGCUGCUUUUCCGGCAGUGAGCAGGAGGUCUGUGGGGGUUUAGUGCAGCUGUUGUGUGCUGUGAUGGCUUUCAGAUCCUAUCCUGUCCCAUGUACUGAUCAUGGCUCAGGGCUGAUGAUGCCGGAUGGUUUUUAUAUCUAUCUGCCGUUUCAGGCUGUGUUUUUGCAAUGAGCACGGAUUUUCCCACUGAUUUGCACUGAGCUUGAGAUGCUGAGGGUGGGGACUGCAGCUUCAAAAUAUGCAGAGCACAGAGCUUCAACCUUCCACAACACAGAGCCUCCAUCCCAGCUCUGGAGAUGUAAUUCCCUAUCCAUGCUGGGAGAAUUCAGGCUUGCUUUCAUCCCCCCGAAUUUUGAGGCUGGAUCGGGGACAAUGGGAGGACGUGCUGUGUCCCCAACACCAUCAAGCAGCGCAUCAGCCGGUGCUGCUAGCGUCACCCUGCCUGAAGCGCCCUCCGGCUGUUCCCUGCACAAAGGGCCCAUUUUCCUCCAGUUUUGCCAUUUUCUGAAAGCUGCCGCUGAGCCUUCGUCCCACGGGUGUCACCAUCCCUGGGCUGGUGGAGAGGGGGCGGGGUCCCACAGAUGGGAUCCAGCAGAUCCCCCUAGGGGAUCCGGAUGGCUCCGCUGCGAUUCAGGGAGGACCUUGGGGAUCGCUGAUGCCAGUUUAUCAGCCAACAUCGCCCCAGUGCUGUGGUGUGCACUGUGGCAGUGCCCGGGCUUCUUCAAGGCCCUUUCCCAAUUAUCACCAUUUCCAUGUGCUAUUUUCCCCUCUUUGGGAAACAUGUGUUUUGCACGGUGAGGGAAAGGGAAUGGAGCGGCAUAAACUGCAUCAGGGAAGGUGCCCACGAUGGAUGCGCAGCGUGGGGCCAUCCUGGCCAGAGGGAUGUCCCUAAAUCCUGAAUUUAAUGACUGAACCGCCCUGUGUGAACCCCACGCUGACAGGUAUAAGUAUCGUGGUGUUUAUAGUGGCUUCGUCACUGGUUAGGAAGGUAUUUGAUGAGGCGUAGCAAGAUAGAGACCUCCUGGGGCACAGCCAUCCUUUGGGGAAAAGCUGGCGGCUGGUGAAGGGAGAAAACUACACCUCCCAGCGUGCCCCACGCCCAUCAUGGCCGCCCGGCAGGUUGGUGCUGGAAUACUACCAAUCCCAGCAUGCAACGCGGCCCAAGAUGGCUGACCGGAAGCGCUUCCGGAAGUCCCAGCUCCUGGCCGGAAGACUACAGCUCCCAGUACGCUGCCCCAUUCCGACAGGUUUGGCCCUACUGUGGCUGGCAGUGAAGCAAAGAUGUGGCCCAUCCAGUAGCGGCGACGCCGCUGCUGCCGCCCGCUCCUCGCAGAGCUGCGGCUCCAGGUCCUUGUGGGGAGCAGCGGCCCGCCCAAAGCCCCCUAGGCGCCCCAACAAGGAGCAGCGCGCAGCGUCGGGCCUCACUGCGCAUGCGUCCUUCACCCGAUUGGCGGGCGGACAUUUGGGGCGCAGCAAUGCGCAUGCGUACAGUGUGGAG
This is a long non-coding RNA of Numida meleagris (helmeted guineafowl), 2130 nucleotides long. RefSeq lists it as uncharacterized. The record is from RefSeq and is a predicted model, not a curated record. NCBI's taxonomy places the organism in Eukaryota, Metazoa, Chordata, Aves, Galliformes, Numididae. The transcript has 3 exons.